Molecule: ribosomal RNA, 497 nt
Filed under: uncultured bacterium
Lineage: Bacteria
Description: partial 16S ribosomal RNA
Rfam family: Bacterial small subunit ribosomal RNA
Source: RNAcentral
GAUGAACGCUGGCGGCGUGCCUAAUACAUGCAAGUCGAGCGAACGGACGAGAAGCUUUCUUCUCUGAUGUUAGCGGCGGACGGGUGAGUAAUACGUGGUUAACCUCCCUAUAAGACUGGGAUAAUUUCGGGAAACCGGAGCUACUACCGCAUGAUAUUUUGAAUCGCAUGGUUCAUAAGUGAAAGACGGUCUUGCUGUCACUUAUAGAUGGAUCCGCGCUGCAUUAGCUAGUUGGUAAGGUAAUGGCUUACCAAGGCAGCGAUGCAUAGCCGACCUGAGAGGGUGAUCGGCCACACUGGAACGGAGACACGAUCCAGACGCCUACGGCAGGCGGCAGUAGGGAAGCUUCCGGAAUGGGCGAAAGCCUGACGGAGCAGCGCCGCGUGAGUGAUGAAGGUCUUCGGAUCGUAAAACUCUGUUAUUAGGGAAGAACAUAGGUGUAAGUAACUGUGCACAGCUUGACGGUACCUAAUCAGAAAGCCACGGCUAACUACGUG